This 467-nucleotide ribosomal RNA is filed under the name uncultured bacterium. RNAcentral describes it as "partial 16S ribosomal RNA". It matches the Rfam family "Bacterial small subunit ribosomal RNA", at positions 29 to 507 of the family's 1533-position model. The record is from RNAcentral.
ACGAACGCUGGCGGCGUGCUUAACACAUGCACGUCGAACGGAAAGGCCCUGCUUUUGUGGGGUGCUCGAGUGGCGAACGGGUGAGUAACACGUGAGUAACCUGCCCUUAACUUUGGGAUAACUUCAGGAAACUGGGGCUAAUACCGGAUAGGAGCUCCUGCUGCUUGGUGGGGGUUGGAAAGUUUUGGCGGUUGGGGAUGGACUCGCGGCUUAUCAGCUUGUUGGUGGGGUAGUGGCUUACCAAGGCUUUGACGGGUAGCCGGCCUGAGAGGGUGACCGGCCACGUUGGGACGGAGAUGCGGCCCAGACUCCUACGGGAGGCAACAGUGGGGUAUAUUGCACAAUGGGCUGAAGCCUGAUGCAGCAACGCCGCGUGCGGGAUGACGGCCUUCGGGUUGUAUACCGCUUUCGCCUGUGACGAAGCGUGAGUGACGGUAAUGGGUAAAGAAGCACCGGCUAACUACGUG